This 411-nucleotide ribosomal RNA is filed under the name uncultured microorganism. Its description in RNAcentral is "bacterial SSU rRNA". It matches the Rfam family "Bacterial small subunit ribosomal RNA", at positions 9 to 416 of the family's 1533-position model. The record is from RNAcentral.
GAGUUUGAUCCUGGCUCAGAUUGAACGCUGGCGGCAUGCCUUACACAUGCAAGUCGAACGGCAGCAUGAUCUAGCUUGCUAGAUUGAUGGCGAGUGGCGAACGGGUGAGUAAUACAUCGGAACGUGCCCUGUAGUGGGGGAUAACUAGUCGAAAGAUUAGCUAAUACCGCAUACGACCUGAGGGUGAAAGUGGGGGACCGCAAGGCCUCAUGCUAUAGGAGCGGCCGAUGUCUGAUUAGCUAGUUGGUGGGGUAAAGGCCCACCAAGGCGACGAUCAGUAGCUGGUCUGAGAGGACGAUCAGCCACACUGGGACUGAGACACGGCCCAGACUCCUACGGGAGGCAGCAGUGGGGAAUUUUGGACAAUGGGCGAAAGCCUGAUCCAGCAAUGCCGCGUGUGUGAAGAAGGCC